UACGUAGGGGGCAAGCGUUAUCCGGAAUAACUGGGCGUAAAGGGUGCGCAGGUGGUUUAACAAGUUAGUGGUGAAAGGCAUAGGCUCAACCAAUGUAAGCCAUUAAAACUGUUUAACUUGAGUGCAGGAGAGGAAAGUGGAAUUCCUAGUGUAGCGGUGAAAUGCGUAGAUAUUAGGAGGAAUACCAGUGGCGAAGGCAACUUUCUGGACUGCAACUGACACUGAGGCACGAAAGCGUGGGGAGCAAACAGG
RNAcentral lists this ribosomal RNA (252 nucleotides) under uncultured bacterium. RNAcentral describes it as "partial 16S ribosomal RNA". It matches the Rfam family "Bacterial small subunit ribosomal RNA", at positions 524 to 776 of the family's 1533-position model. The record is from RNAcentral.